Molecule: ribosomal RNA, 508 nt
Filed under: uncultured bacterium
Lineage: Bacteria
Description: partial 16S ribosomal RNA
Rfam family: Bacterial small subunit ribosomal RNA
Source: RNAcentral
GACGAACGCUGGCGGCGUGCCUAAUACAUGCAAGUCGAACGCUUCUUUCCUCCCGAGUGCUUGCACUCAAUUGGAAAGAGGAGUGGCGGACGGGUGAGUAACACGUGGGUAACCUACCCAUCAGAGGGGGAUAACACUUGGAAACAGGUGCUAAUACCGCAUAACAGUUUAUGCCGCAUGGCAUAAGAGUGAAAGGCGCUUUCGGGUGUCGUUGAUGGAUGGACCCGCGGUGCAUUAGCUAGUUGGUGAGGUAACGGCUCACCAAGGCCACGAUGCGUAGCCGACCUGAGAGGGUGAUCGGCCACACUGGGACUGAGACACGGCCCAGACUCCUACGGGAGGCAGCAGUAGGGAAUCUUCGGCAAUGGACGAAAGUCUGACCGAGCAACGCCGCGUGAGUGAAGAAGGUUUUCGGAUCGUAAAACUCUGUUGUUAGAGAAGAACAAGGACGUUAGUAACUGAACGUCCCCUGACGGUAUCUAACCAGAAAGCCACGGCUAACUACGUG